This 285-nucleotide long non-coding RNA is filed under the name Citrus sinensis (sweet orange). RNAcentral's name for it is "long non-coding RNA (CSIN_LNC005288)". The record is from RNAcentral. Lineage: Eukaryota; Viridiplantae; Streptophyta; Magnoliopsida; Sapindales; Rutaceae.
CCGAAUUUUUUAAAAUUGUUAUUAGCAAAGAGGUUUUGAUUUUUUUACCAAACUGGCAUGCAAAGGUUAUAAGAACAUAUUAUCAACUAUCCAAGCUCCAUACUUACUAAUCACGUUUUAGAAAUCAAGACAACUAAACUCAUCAAGAUCCAAUGUGCCAUUUCAAUAUAACUUAAAAUAUCUUAUAUGCUUAAAAUUCUCGAAGUAUAUGUAUCUUUCCUCCUUUCGGCAUCAUUUAAAACAAGUAAUGCAUAAUCAAUAAUACAUCGAUAAAGGACAAAAAAU